CCCCGGCGCCACCGGUCUUGGAUCCGGCCGCCGCGCUGCCUGCCUCUGCUCCUCACUUCUCUGCCUCUGUGCCCGCACGAGGGGAUGCCAAGCCCUCGUGCUCCUCGAUCGUCAGCCAUAGGGGAGCCACCCGCGCACCUUCCCUUCCUGUCUUCCUCUCCUUCCUUCUCCCUCACACCCUCUCUCUCUGUUCUCCUGCAGGUACCCUCCAUGGCCAUCAUGGACAGCAGCCAUGCGGCAGGAGCUCGCCACCGAAGUCCCCCGAGCACCGUACGCCCCGAAUCUGGCCGGGAGACGAGGCCGAGCCCUCGCGCCCAGAUCCGCUGCAGCAACCUGGAAGUUCGCCGCCGCCACCUCGGGCGGUUCAACUGAUGCACCGCCGCCCUCACCUCCCUCCCUGACAGACGCGUCGUCGUGACUCCACCUCCUGGCUGGACCACCGCGAGCCUCCACCUCCCGGCUUCCCGGUGCUGCCCCGUUGGCCUCCUCUCGUGGCCCCGCUGUCUUCCCCAUGUGAGCCAACCAGGCCAGACGGCCACCCCGGCAAGCACUCAUCCUCGUGUUCGCUUGGUGGAGACUAGGAGGAGCGGCAGAGACGCCGCCCCGAGGCAGAAUCCCUGCCUCCGCUUGGUUCCGUCCACAGCAGCACACCACAUCUCCCCUGUCGUCCACCUGCCAUGUUCAUGUCCACAGCUUCCAUUUCAGCCAUUGAAGCUGUAGAUGGAGCGCGACAUGCAGCAGUGUCGCCCCAACAAGCAUGCAACGCCGACGACGACAGGGUGUGGCGUGUGUCUGUCCGGCAUGCUGGGCAUGGUGCCGAGGGGCAGCAGUUUGAAUUGGCUGUGGGUUAAAAUUCAGGUAAUGCUAUUGUCUGGUGGCAAAGGAUCAUGCAGGCUAUUUCGUUACUGAAAAAACGCGUGACGCAAGGAAUAAGAUUUUUUCAAUAAACUCCUACUCUUAUUCUUUUCCCCUUCGACUUUCUCUGCCAUGGAUGUGUGCAUGCGUGCUAUGUGCGUGAGUGCGCUACAACAAUUUGUGUAAAAGAAACAUUUUCAAUUGGGCAAAAUUAGUUGAUGGUUGUCGAAGUUCAGACAUUUGUAUUGGUGACCUUCAGUAAUUAUAGAAUGAGAAGUAGUGUGUGCCGUCU
This is a long non-coding RNA of Triticum dicoccoides, 1147 nucleotides long. RefSeq lists it as uncharacterized. NCBI's taxonomy places the organism in Eukaryota, Viridiplantae, Streptophyta, Magnoliopsida, Poales, Poaceae. The record is from RefSeq and is a predicted model, not a curated record. The transcript has 2 exons.